CCUACGGGGGACAGCAGUGGGGAAUAUUGCGCAAUGGGCGAAAGCCUGACGCAGCGACGCCGCGUGAGGGAUGAAGGUCUUCGGAUCUUAAACCUCUUUCAGCAGGGAAGAACGGUCACUGUGCUAAGCAGCAGUGAAUUGACGGUACCUGCAAAGGAAGCACCGGCUAACUCCGUGCCAGCAGCCGCGGUAAUACGGAGGGUGCGAGCGUUAAUCGGAAUGACUGGGCGUAAAGCGCUCGUAGGCGGUAUGUCAAGUCAAGGGUGAAAUCCCCGCGCUCAACGUGGGAACUGCAUUUGAAACUGGCAGACUGGAGUAUGUGAGAGGAUAGUGGAAUUCCAGGUGUAGCAGUGAAAUGCGUAGAUAUCUGGAGGAACAUCAGUGGCGAAGGCGACUCUCUGGCACAUAACUGACGCUGAGGAGCGAAAGCGUGGGUAGCAAACAGGAUUAGAUACCCUGGUAGUC
RNAcentral lists this ribosomal RNA (465 nucleotides) under uncultured bacterium. RNAcentral describes it as "partial 16S ribosomal RNA". It matches the Rfam family "Bacterial small subunit ribosomal RNA", at positions 338 to 795 of the family's 1533-position model. The record is from RNAcentral.